CAAAAUCACUUAAGAAGUACCUAAACAGUGGGAGAUUAAGUUUGAGUUAAAAGGCUAGAAAGAAUCAUGUCGAAAAUCUCAAGCGACUCCUGGUCACCCCCAAAAGCUGCACUUUGCUCCGGGGUUUGCCCGAGAUACGCUCUGCUCUACCUGGUGCAUCCUUUCCCUUCAAAGAUCCCUGUUUGCUCAAGAGUUUCCCUUUGUAUAUGGAAUGGACCCAAACUUACGUAGGCUUGCUUUAUUGGUACGCAAAAAAAACCCACCCAAACCAACCCACAAGUGAGAUUGAAAGGGAAGGAUGACUAGAGAAGAAGAAGGAAAAAAAAAAAAAGGAAAAGAUGAGAGCCAAGAGUUAACUGCUUUGCAGGAGCCGAACAACUCAUUCAUUCCAUGAGAGAGUUAUGCAAUAUUUGUAGCUCUGCAAAACCAGCGAUUAUCUGGCAGCAUCAGCUCUGCAUGGAAAUUUUGGGCUAAGAAAUGAGAUGUCCUGAUAAUUCAAUGCAACCUUAUAUCCGAGGACUGCCGCGAAGUGCCCCCUCCAAAUAAACCACCCACAUAAUAAUGACCCUGGAGAGCAACGCAAAACCCAACUGGCUUCCACACAAACUUCACCAAAUUACUAGGUUCGCCUGAAGACAGGGAAACUGGCAAGAGAUCCUGUGAGAGGGGUGGAAAUAAAGCACGACAACUACCCACAAAGGGUUUGGUAUUUUUUUAAAGGCAGUAUCUAAAAGCUUCCGCCAUCGAGCUACUGCAAAAUCCUUCAUUCCAAGUCUACUGUCUCCAGGGAGCCUGGCCCACACUCCAGAUUUACUAACAAGCUCCCUUCCGAAUUUUUGGUGGUGAAGGGAGGCUCUCUGGCACGGAUGCUCUCAAGUUGCAGUCUGACACGGCAGAGGCAAAGACGGGGUGGCUGGAAAAUGAGCUCACGCCUUUCCCUCCACUCCCAGCUGGGACAGCAGCUCCUUUCUUCCCCUUUCUCAGGACUACACGAGUGUAAACACCACCACGCGUGCUCACGGACACCGGCAGGGCUGCUGCGAGAUUGCGGAGACCGUUCCGGAGCGCCCAGCUCGGCCCCGUUCACCUCCGGGCUGCGCGGCCCAGGGGGAGCCGGGACUCUCUGGGACCGCUCACACGUGGGGGGAAUGGGUGUUUAUUAAAUAUUAAUUGACUUUAAUGCUCUGAGUUGGAGCACGACCGCCCAGUUCGGAUUGGAGACACACGUGCAGGGACAGUCUACUCCGGCUUAGGGCAUUCUCCGCUCCGCUCUCCAGCUUUCCGUGGAGCUGCGCUUCUCUGCGCCGCGGUAUCGUCCUAGUCCCUCAGGACCAUGCUGAGCACCUCAUAGUCCCUCAAGAGCCUUACCAAACUUGCAGAGUACAUUGCACACGUCAGCGAGAGAGAACACAGAUAAACGUGCCCCUCUCGCUCCAUCCAUCCAUCCAUCCAUCGUGCCGAAUUCCGGACGGAGUGUCACUGUUUUAAGAGGGAGUCUUUUAAUUGCACCGGGAAUUAUGUUCUGCUGCGUCUGAUGGCAACACGCUAGGCUUAAUUGCAGUGUCUGGGACAUUCUGGGGAGGGGCUGGUAAAUGAAGGUUUUGCAGUUUAACAGAAAACAAUCCAAGCUUGCAAGCACCCCCCAUAAAUAGUUUCUUUUAGAAUCUAUAUCUGUAUCUACAUGGGGUUAGCACAAUCUCCGCGAUCUGUAAAUAUAGGAGAGGAAGGGACUGGCCAUUACUUCUGCAGCUCUGUCUGCCCCCUCUAAGACAAACUGCCUUCUGCAUGGCACAUACGCAGCCCCAGCAACACCAAUAAAUAUUUAAAGCGAAAAGGAUGGCUUUAUGGCGGGACGAGGGGUGGAUUUCGCUCUCUCCCUCUCUCUUUUGAAGAUGCGUUUUCGGUGAAACGUCAUGAAAGGAGUUGGGGACAAUUCCCCCCCACCCCUCCCCCUCCGCCACCCCCAGAGCACGCCAUCAGAUAAUUUACACUCCCCCCACUCCCCCGCCAACCCCCACCCCGGGCUCCUUUCUUUAGGGAGGCUGGAGCUUACCUGUGCUCCUCAUCCAAGGGUAGAUACGGAAGUUACUGUCGCUUUGCAAAUCUGAGUCCCUCUGGUCCGUUUUGCUGCAACUCUGCUUGGAGGCAUCUCCCGGGCACAUCAUGGAGAGGUUUUGCUCAAAAGGGGAACAGUGCAUGUUGAAGGAGCCGGGCUCCAGGCCGUAACCGGAGGAAUACAUGCUGGGGGGCUGGGGGUGCACGGCGCUGCCACUGGAGUAGAGCCCGGGCAUGGAGGCGGCGAAGGGAGGCGUGGAUCCGGCCCCAUAACCCGCUCGCUGGGUAUUGGAGGCGAAAGCGCAAGAAGUUUGCUCGGGAAAGACUCCGGAUGGGAAAACCGAACU
Molecule: long non-coding RNA, 2402 nt
Organism: Colius striatus (speckled mousebird)
Lineage: Eukaryota; Metazoa; Chordata; Aves; Coliiformes; Coliidae
Exons: 5
Source: RefSeq, a predicted model, not a curated record